UGGUGUCCCCCAUGUGUUGCCUUAUAUAAUACAGAUUAUGAUUGAUUUUUUUAAAAAAGCUAAAUGAGCAAACUCACUAUUAAAAGUAUGCAUAUUUGGAAUUUCUUAGAAUAAUUAUGACCUUUUUAAACUAAAUUGUACUUUUUUCAACCAUAUUUUAGAUUACCAAUAUGUUUUUCCGAAAAUUUUCUAUAUUUAUAAGUCAAUAAGAUCAAAGCAUAUCAUUUUCGAGUCGAAAAUGUCAACAUCAACCAAACCUGUUUGAUUAAAUGGGUCAAUCAUGAUCCCAACCUUAAUCCGCUUAUUUCGGGUUAGGAUUGAAUCGGGUUGUCAGAUAGAGUCACAUUUCGCCAGCCCUACCCAAUAACAAAAAAAAAAAAAGUUGUUUAGUUUAGUGUAGUUUCUCACAUUUUACUCUAGUUUAGACAUUCUCUUAUGUGUUCAAUACAGUUCAGUUCAGUUUCUCGUAAUUCAGUUCAAUUUCUCUAGCUGUUUUCGAGGCUGAAGAGAUUAAUUAACACACCUCCAGAAUACCAAAAAAAAAAAAUACACAAUGGAUUAUGGGUAGAAAAAGAAUUAUCAUAUUGGAGGAUUAUAAUUUUCAAACUUCUAAAUUUUCUUAAAUCCUGCUGAAGAUUCGUCGCAUGAAUCGAUUGUUCUUCGAAUUCUUCGAAGCUUGUUUUGCCCCCUGUUGAUUCUUUGGAAAGGUGGGUUGGAAAGGAGGGAGUGAGGAGCUCAGCAUUCUGCAAAUGGGUUUUGAAUCUCUGCAUCAUGCAUUCAGUAUGUGGUGGGAAUGCCACUUUUCUUCCACCUCAGUUUUGUUUACCCUUAUUAGCUCUGUUGUUGUGUUAGGGUGGAGAAUUGUUUAUGGAUUAAUUCUAGAGGUGAUCAUGGGCGGGGCCGGGCUGGGCCUAAAUUCGGGUCAAAUUUUUGUGUCCAAAGCCCGCUAUUUCGGACCUACAUUAGUGGGCUUUUGCGGGCCAAAACAGGUCAGGCCAAAAAAUAGACUAAAAUGUCAUUUUUGGUUUGCCCAAAGCCCGCCCAAAGCAAAAAAAAAUACAGGCGGGCCAGACCCACGGGCCGAAAAAAUCUGCCCAAAACCCGGCCCAAAAACGGGCCGGCCGGGCCAAAAUGAUCACCUCUAAUCAAUUCGUAGUGGGUUGGAGAGCACAGAAUUGCUCGGGAGAAGCCAGUUUUUGAAGAAAGUGGAAACUGAGGCACUAAGACUUCCUGGAUCAAUGGCAUUGCUUGAUGGAGGUUUAUUAAUUGUAGUCUCCCCCGCUUAUAGUUGGUGUACCCACACCCAAGAAUCUGCUAAAGCAUUGGCAAAUACAAUUUCUACCGUAUGCCAAAACUGUAGGUUGGUCGUUGUGGUUGCAAUGGCGAGUGACAAAGAUCACAGUGAUUUCGCCAAGGAACUCCUUAGUCCUUAUGGGUCUACAUUUUGAAGCUGUUUUCCUGACAGAAGUAGAUAUUGCAGGAGAUAAAUCUCGAAGUGCAUCUGCAUCCUUUUCGAAAGAUAUAUGGACAAAAACAUAAUGACCAUCACUGCUGAAAGUUCAAUAACAAAUUGCUUGGUGGCUAAUAAUAGGAUUCUCAAAGCAAUAAUGGGAGAUCAACCAGAUUGAACAUUGCGAAAGGAACGAUUGUUUUGACGAGAUCUUCAGUUAUUCAAUCCCCCCCCGGGAGGUGUCAAUCUGGGUCACUGGCUGGGUUUGGGUUGACCCAGGCUGGGUCGGAAUGAUUUGGGUCGGAAUAAUCUGGGUGACCCCGUGUCAUGGGUCGGAACUGGGUGGGUCGGGUGAACUUGGGUCGGGUGAAACUGGGUGAGAGGAUCUCGGAACUGGGUCGGGUGAGACUGGGUCGGCCGGUAUCUGGGUUGGGUGAAUUUGGGUCGGAAUGGAAUAAGGUGAAGUCGGUCGAAAUCGGCUUUCGGAAUGACUUGGGUCGGAAGAAAUCGGCUUUCGGAAUAACUUGGGUCGGAAGAAAUCGGCUUUCGGAAUGACUUGGGUCGGAAGAAAUCGGGUUUCGGAAUGACUUGGGUCGGAAGAAAUCGGCUUUCGGGUUACUUGGGUCGGAAGAAAUCGAUAUCGGAAUAACUUGGGUCGGAAGAAAUCGGGUUUCGGAAUGACUUGGGUCGGAAAAAAAGGCUUUCGGGUUACUUGGGUCGGAAGAAAUCGAUAUCGGAAUUCGGAAUAACUUGGGUCGGAAGAAAUCGGGUUUCGGAAUGACUUGGGUCGGAAGAAAUCGGCUUUCGGGUUACUUGGGUCGGAAGAAAUGGAUAUCGGAAUAACUUGGGUCGGAAGAAAUCGGGUUUCGGAAUGACUUGGGUCGGAAGAAAACGGCUUUCGGGUUACUUGUGGUCGGAAGAAAUCGAUAUCGGAAUUCGGAAUAACUUGGGUCGGAAGAAAUCGGGUUUCGGAAUGACUUGGGUCGGAAGAAAUCGGCUUUCGGGUUACUUGGGUCGGAAGAAAUCGAUAUCGGAAUAACUUUGGUAGGAAGAAAUCGGGUUUCGGAAUGACUUGGGUCGGAAGAAAUUGGUUUUCGGGUUACUUGGGUCGGAAUCGAUAUCGGAAUAACUUUGGUCGGAAUAAUUCGACUUCCGGAAAUACUAAGGUUGGAAGAAAUCGGCUUCCGGGUUACUUGGGUCGGAAGAAAUCGAUAUCGGAAUAAGUUGGAUCUCGGUGGGACUUGCCGACUUGGUUCUUGGAACGACUAAAUAUCGAACCGGCAGCUCCGUGGCGUAUUAUGAUAUUGUGGUAUAGAUUAUACUAUUAUAGUCAUUAUACUUUAUACUUAUAGUGGUAUAUUAUAGUAAUCUGUAAUUAUACUGAUAUUGUGAAUUGUGGUUGGGUAAUUGUUAAUUUUUUAAUAAUACAUUGAUUCAUUAAUAGUUUGAUACUUAUAUUAUUAUUAUUAAUUUGAAAUGUUACUACAAUAAGACUUAUAAAUUAUACUUAUAUUAUUGGGUCAUUCACCAUUA
Beta vulgaris subsp. vulgaris (sugar beet) is the source of this 2983-nucleotide long non-coding RNA. RefSeq lists it as uncharacterized. The transcript has 6 exons. The record is from RefSeq and is a predicted model, not a curated record. NCBI's taxonomy places the organism in Eukaryota, Viridiplantae, Streptophyta, Magnoliopsida, Caryophyllales, Amaranthaceae.